GUACACGCUGUGACUAGCAUAUCAAUAAGCGGAGGAAAAGAAACUAACAAGGAUUCCCCUAGUAACGGCGAGUGAAGCGGGAAGAGCUCAAAUUUGAAAUCUUAAAGGGUUUCCCUUUACGAAUUGUAGUUUAAAGAAGUGUUUUCUGUUGAGGUUUUGGUAAAAGUUCUUUGGAAUAGGACAUCAUAGAGGGUGAGAAUCCCGUAUUUGACCUUUACUUUCAACUUUGUGAUACACUUUCAAAGAGUCGGAUUGUUUGGGAAUGCAGUCCAAAAUGGGUGGUAAAUUUCAUCUAAAGCUAAAUAUUGGCGAGAGACCGAUAGCGAACAAGUACCGUGAGGGAAAGAUGAAAAGAACUUUGAAAAGAGAGUUAAACAGUACGUGAAAUUGUCAAAAGGGAAGCGUUUGACACCAGUGUUGUUUUUCUGAAAAUCAAUUAAAGAACUGUUUAUGCUAAGCUGUUUAGACUUUAUCAGCUAACUGUUUAGUUUUGAGCUUUUCUUUAAUGCACUUUUCAGUUAACAAGUCAACAUCAAUUUCUUUUGCUGUAAAAAAGCUUGAGGAAGGUGGCUUGAGAUUCGUCUUAAGUGUUUAUAGCCUCUUGCCUAUGCAGUCGGAGAGAUUGAGGUCUGCAGCGUAGAUCCUUCGGGGCUAAAUGCAUUUGUGCUAAGUUAUAGCAUUUUAUAGGACAACUUGUUGACUAUGAUUUGUCUUGUAGCUUACUCGCUUAUGUUAUUUUACCUACGCUUAGGAUGUUGAGUCGUAGAGCACGCAG
This 775-nucleotide ribosomal RNA is filed under the name uncultured Neocallimastigales. RNAcentral's name for it is "partial large subunit ribosomal RNA". It matches the Rfam family "Eukaryotic large subunit ribosomal RNA", at positions 22 to 628 of the family's 3401-position model. The record is from RNAcentral. Lineage: Eukaryota; Fungi; Neocallimastigomycota; Neocallimastigomycetes; Neocallimastigales.